Small nucleolar RNA from Mobula hypostoma (lesser devil ray), 150 nucleotides. NCBI's taxonomy places the organism in Eukaryota, Metazoa, Chordata, Chondrichthyes, Myliobatiformes, Myliobatidae. The record is from RefSeq and is a predicted model, not a curated record.
UUUGCACAUUGUUAGAACUCGGAGGUGAGACCAUUGUGGUCGAUGAACUCCGAGUGUAGGAGAUGUGCUACAUGAUCAUGCAGGUGCCUUUAACACUGCUCGAGCCUGUGGCUCAGUGAGUAAGGUUUUGUAGUAACCCCUGCUACAAUG